This 303-nucleotide long non-coding RNA is filed under the name Elaeis guineensis (African oil palm). RNAcentral's name for it is "long non-coding RNA (EGUI_LNC053377)". Lineage: Eukaryota; Viridiplantae; Streptophyta; Magnoliopsida; Arecales; Arecaceae. The record is from RNAcentral.
UUGCGGUUGAAGUAGGGGACGAAGUCCGGCUCCCGUAGGAGUCCGGACGGAGUCUACCUGCAAUCAAAAUCGGGGGUGAAGUCCAGCUCUCGUAGGAGUCCAGACGGAGUCUACCCGCAAUCAAAGUCGGGGGCGAAGUCUGGCCCUCGUAGGAGUCUGGACGAAGUCUUCUUGUGGUUGAAGUCGGGGAUGAAGUCCGGCUCCCGUAGGAGUCCGGGCGAAGUCCACCUGCAAUCAAAGUCGGGGGCGAAGUCUAGCUCCCAUAGGAGUCCGGAUGAAGUCUUCUUGCGGUUGAAGUUGGGG